This is a long non-coding RNA of Myxocyprinus asiaticus (Chinese sucker), 5170 nucleotides long. RefSeq lists it as uncharacterized. The transcript has 3 exons. NCBI's taxonomy places the organism in Eukaryota, Metazoa, Chordata, Actinopteri, Cypriniformes, Catostomidae. The record is from RefSeq and is a predicted model, not a curated record.
CAGUGUUCAAAUAAAAUGUAUGCCACUGGAGUUAAUGCAAGUUUUUGGAUGUUUUGUAUACCUUCAAAAAGGCCAAGAGAACAGAUCAAGAAAAUCUUUUGACCUUCUUUAAAAAGAAGAGAACUGAAGGAGCUGAGUGCUUCCUGAAGCAGGCUGGUUUCUUACUGCACCACGGGGCUUUACUUCACCACAGUCUGGCUUCAGACCCUUGCACAGCACCGAAUCUGCAUUGCUGAAGGGUCAACAAAGAUUACGUGAGUGGCUGUGUUUGUAUUGUGGAGCUGGCGGGCAUGUGAUCGAUGAAUGUCCUGUUCGCCCCUUACAAAUUACGGUGAGUCAGACUAUUACCAAACCUAUGAUUCAUGCUCCAUUGACUACUAUGGUCUCAGUGAUUUGCCCACAUGUCUCUCUCUCAGUCAAGGCCCUCACUGACUCUGGGCCGGCAGGCAGCUUCAUCUCUGAACAACUCUGCCGCCGGCUCAAACUCCCAAUAAUCAAAUGCUCCUCCCCGAUCCUCGUCCAGUCAAUAAUUGGAAAACCUCUGGGAAAGGGACUUAUCACUCAUCCAACCCCACCUGUGACGAUUUGAGUGGGUUGUACCCACUUUGAGGAUAUCUCCUUUCUGAUUCUGGAGGGCUCCACUGCCGAUAUCAUCCUGGGCGUCCAUGGUUACAACAACACUCCCCACAGCUUUCUUGGACUACCGGAGAGGUUUUGGCGUGGGGUGGAGAGUGUUUCCAUGGAUGCUUACGACUUCCCCAUCCUAUUGGUCCCUACACUCAUGUGCCUGUGUGUGCCACCUCUAUAGAGAGUCCUGCAAGUGAGCUUCAGAUAGACGUGCCCCAGGAAUAUCGUGCAUACCAAGAUGUCUUCAGUCCACAACGAGCAGCCACCUUACCAUCUCAUCUACCAUGGGACUGUGCCAUUGACCCGAUGCCAGGAGCACCAUUGCCCAGGGGAUGGAUCUAUCCACUCUCACUUCCGGAACAGAAGGCCAUGGUGGAGUAUGUCGAUGAGCCGCUCAAACAAGGUUACAUCCGCCCUUCCACUUCCCCUGCUGCUUCCAGCUUCUUCUUCAUGGCCAAAAAUGACAGAGGCUUACAGCCAUGCAUUGACUACCAUGCCCUCAACCCAGUCACCGUGAAGUUCCGGUACCCCAUUCCCCUGGUCCCAGCAGCGCUAGAACUCCUGAGAGGAGCCACCGUGUUCUCUAAGCUCGAACUAUGUAGUGCCUAAAACCUCAUUCAUAUCUGGAGGGGGAUGAGUGGAAGACGGCCUUCAUGAACCCAACUGGCCACUAUGAAUACCGGGUCAUGCCAUAAGGCCAUAAGGCCUUGGUAUUCCAGAGCUUUAUGAAUGAGAUGUUCCAGGAGUAUCUCCACCAAUUCAUCAUUGUUUACAUCAACGACAUCCUCAUCUACUCCUGGAAUGAGACCGACCAACUACGAUCAACAUGUAGUGUCCAUACUGGAAAAGCUUAGAGAACACCAACUGUAUCUGAAAUUGGAAAAGUGCAAAUUUCAUCAACCAUCAAUUCAGUUCCUCGUAUACAUCAUUAGUCCCAGAGGAGUGGAAAUGGACCAGGGAAGGUUAGUGAAAUUCACUCCUGGCACAAACCCACCACAAUAAAGUAGCUACAGAGAUUCCUAGGUUUUGAAAACUUUUACCGACGCUUCAUACGUAAUUACAGUUUCAUGUCUGCACCCUUAACAUCUCUUCUCAAAUCCAAGCCCAGGUCCCUGUCCUGGAACCAACCCACCUCGGAGGCUUUUCAAAACCUUAAGGAAGCUUUCUUGGCAGCUCCCAUCUUAGAUCAUCCCGACCCGGAUAGACCAUUCAUCAUGGAAGUUGACACCUCCACCUAAGGCUUUGGAGCUGUAAUAUCCCAGCGGCAGGGGGAUCCUCCCAAACUUCACCCAUGUGCCUUCUCGCGAAAGCUAACCCCGGCGGAGCAGAACUACGACAUUGGCAACUGGGAGCUGCCCACCAUCAAGCUGGCACUGGAGGAGUGGCGACCACUGGCUGGAAGGAUCUCGUCAUCCUUUUUUAGUCAUCACAGAUCAUUGCAACCUCGAGUACCUGAGAGAUGCAAAACAAUUGAACCCCCACCAGGCCCGGUGGGCCCUGUUCUUCACACGGUUUAACUUCUCUGUCUCUUAUCAUCCAGGGUCCAAAAACACCAAGGCGGAUGCUUUAUCCUGACUACACGCUGUGGAACCUUCCAUGGGAACACCUGAAUCCGUUCUACCUCCAGGAUUAAUCAUCAGUCGUAUCUAGUGGGCCCUGGACGACCAAAUUGAAGAGGCCACCUGUGAAGAACCAGCUCCGCUGGGAUGCCCCGAGGGAUGCAAAUACAUGCCCUCAUGCCUUCGGACCUCCCUCAUCACUUCCAUACACUCCUCCCUGGGCUCUGGUCAUCCUGGCUACCAUCAAACCCUCACGCUUCUCCAAAAUCGAUACUGGUGGCCCCGUAUAUGUCCCAGAAAGUACAGCGAUACAUCCAAGGCUGCCCAGAAUGUGUCUCGAAAUCUCCACGCCAUCUUCCAUCCGGUAAGCUCCUUCCUCUGCCUGUUCCUCAGCGCCCCUGGUCACACCUGGGGGUGGAUUUUAUAAUUGAUUCACCAGCAUCAGAUCCUUUCACCUGUGUCCUAGUCAUUGUUGAUAGAUUCUCCAAGGCAUGUCAUCUAGUUCCCGUGAAGGGCCUCCCCAUGGCUCUGGAAACUGCAGAAGCUUUAUUCCAUCACGUCUUCCUGAACUACGACAUCCCAGAAGACAUUGUGUCUGACUGCGGUCCCCAAUUCAUCUUGCGGGUAUGGAGGUCCUUAUUUUCCCUCCUGGGUGUGUCAGUAAGUUUAACCUCUGGAUAUCAUCUGCAGUCUAACAGGCAGACAGUGCAUAAGAUCCAAGAGAUUGGCCACUUCCUGCGGAUCUACUGCCACAACCACCAGGACAGCUGGAACUGGUUCCUACCCUGGGCCGAGUACUCCCAGAACUCCCUUUGUCAACCAGCCACCAGACUCACCCCGUUCCAGUGCGUACUCGGCUUCCAACCUCCCCUGUUUCCAUGGUCAGGAGACCCUUCUGAUGUUCCAGCUGUGAGCCACUGAUUCGAGGAUAGUGAGAGAUCUGGGACUCAGCUCAUGAUCAUCUCCAAUGGGCAGUCCGGUGCCAGAAGAGCCAGUCCGAUGCAAGGAGAUCUGAGAUGCCUACCUACCAUCCUGGGCAUAAGGUCUGGCUCUCUACCCGGGACAUCAGGCUCUGGCUGCCCUGUCGAAAGCUAAGUCCCAGAUACAUUGGUCCUUUCACUAUACUCCACCAAGUAAAUGCAGUCACAUACAGAUUACCACUGCCCCUUCACUACAGAAUUAACCCCACCUUCCACGUCACUCUGCUCAAAUCUCAUUAUCCUUCUCUGUCUCCUUCCCCAGAGCCCGAUGCGUCUGAGGAACCCCCUCAGUCACUUCUCCUGGAGGAUGGUUCGGUUUACGAGGUUCGAGUCAUCCUAGACCCCGAUAUCGGAGAGGAAAUCUCGAGUACCUGGUGGACUGGGAAGGGUAUGGUCCUGAGGAGAGGUCCUGGGUUACCUGAGAUGACAUCCUUGAUCCGACCUUGCUUACCACCUUUCACAUGUAGAAUCUCACUCGCCCAGCUCUGCAUGGACGAGGACGGCCCCGACGUCAGAGGCUCCGGCCCACAGGAGCGGACCCUGUAAAGGGGGGGGGUACUGUGUUGGAUCCACCUGGCUCUCUCUCUCCCUCUCCCUCACUGCCGGCACUGUGCUCUCUCUCCCCUGAGUUUUAAUUACCUGCACCUGCACGUCAUCAGAACGCCAGUCAUGGACUGCAUUUAAACCCCACUUACAUUCUAAUUCACUGUCUGUUCUCGUCAAUGUUCUCACAAAGACUACGGACUCCCUAGCCCUUCUAUACUUACCUGUUGAAAUAAUUACCUUGUCGUUUGUUUCCUGUUCCCGAUAUUACUGCGUGUUUCUUACUCUGUAUAUUCCUCCAGUGACAUAUUCUGUUCCUCUGUGUUGCAACAUUUCCUACAAAGACCAAAAUAAUGUUGUGAGUGUUCUGAUCAUCUGUUCAUUGUCACAAUACAUUGUUUGAAGUUUACUCACCUGCUGUUCGUGCCAUACCAGUGUUUGGAUAACCUCACCUGUUUGUUUCACCUCUCACCCAUUCCCUUCAUCAGUAAAACCCACGAUUGAGUCCAACCCUCUGCCUCUGAGUUUUCUCACCGUGACAUCGCUAAAGUAAAACAUUUUCUUUCCCAUAAAGACCUGGAAAUUGUGACCUACUCACUAAUUUCAUCGAGGUUAUACUGUUGUAACUCAUUGUACAUUGGUUUUCCUCCAACUGCAUUAUCCCACCUACAGCUGGUUCAAAAUGUGGCAGCUAGGCUUUUAACAGGGUCAAGAAAGAGGGAUCACAUUUCCUCUGUUUUAGCAACUCUACACUGGCUUCCCGUGAAAUUCAGGGUCGAUUUUAAUAUUCUGCUGCAUGUACAAGGCACUAACUGGUCUCACGCCCCAAUAUGUCAGUGACCUUCUCCUCCCGUACUCCCCCCACCAGAGCACUCAGGUCUUCUGAUCAGCUUCUUUUGAGGGUUCCUCAUUGUUGCUAUAGAUCUAAGGGUGAUCGUGCCUUUUUUGUGGUAGGUCCUAAUCUCUGGAACAGUCUCUCUUUCCAUGUGAGGUCAACUUCUUCAUUAGCUAUUUUUGAAAAUGUAUUUUUAUUCUGUAGCUUUUGAAUAGGUCCUUGAAUAGGUUGAACUGGUUAAAUACAUUAUGCUAUAUUUAAAGGUAUUUAUUUUAUUUUUAUUAUUUUUUAUGUUUAUGUGUAUGUAUGUGUAUGUAUGUAUGUAUGUAUGUAUGUGUAAUAUAUAUAUAAUCACUCUAUCUUUGUAUAUUUAUUUGUUUGAUCUGUAAAUCACUUUGGGUCAACUUCUGUUGUUUUUAAAUGUGCUCUAUAAAUAAAGGUUGACUUGACUUGGUACCACACACAUACUGGCGAAUUAAACAGAUUAAAACCCUCUCAGGCAAGCAAUCCUGUGGACAUUGUCAUGUCUGGGGAAAUUUUAACAUUUUCAAAACACACACAUUAUGUUAAACCCAGCAAUAUUAACGCAGCAUGGUGAGAUUUAGUAAUUGUUCCCACACAUUUCA